This 63-nucleotide small RNA is filed under the name Sinorhizobium meliloti 2011. RNAcentral describes it as "putative ncRNA". The record is from RNAcentral. Lineage: Bacteria; Pseudomonadati; Pseudomonadota; Alphaproteobacteria; Hyphomicrobiales; Rhizobiaceae.
GAGCACAAGCGGCUGAUACCAAAAAGAAAGGCGGCCCGAGGACCGCCUUUCCGCACAACUCUG